This 1278-nucleotide long non-coding RNA is filed under the name Cyanistes caeruleus (blue tit). RNAcentral describes it as "lncRNA (ENSCCEG00000000535.1)". The record is from RNAcentral. Lineage: Eukaryota; Metazoa; Chordata; Aves; Passeriformes; Paridae.
AGCGAACACAGGUUUUUCCCCUAAAAGCUGGCUUUCUUCCCUCCAUCCAGGUUGUGCUGCCUCUCUGCCUGCUGCAGCUGGCUGGCACCUCUGAGAAGGCUGCCACGUCACACCUUGCUGGAGUCGGGGAGAAUGUGAAGCAGAAAUGUGUGUCUGGAAGCUCAGCUGAAACACUGGAAGAGUUGCAAGCUCUGAAAGGCAGGAGCUAUGAAAUGAUUGUAUUCAGCCUAUCUAGGAAGCACUUUACAAAGGAGAAUCCUGGUCAACAUCACAUUUAAAAGAUCAAGUCUCCCUAAUGUGACCUCAUGUCCUACCUGCUUGGCUAUCACAAGGUACCAAAAUCCAAAGUUUUUUUUCACAUCUCACCUCCCUAAACUGUUCCUGUAUUUUACUGUGAUAAUUUAAUGUAAAAAUACACAAGACUAAAGACACACCUCUUACCCUGCUGUGUACCCUAAGUCUUGAACUUUUUCCACCCAUGUGCACUUGUUCCAGAAUUGGGAAUCACCUUUGGUAUGUGGGGCUCCACACCAGCAGGCAGAGCCAUGGUACUUUUGUCAUGAAUUUGUUCUGCACAUGAGUGGUGAAUCUGGUGCUCCAGGGAGGUGCAGGAAAGGAACAAGUCCACUGUGUAUGAGAGGCAGUCACAGGGCAGAGGCUUUGUGUGGCCACCUGAACCCCCCUUGGUGCUGAAUGAGGCACAUGGGUGCUCAUAAAGAAUAGAGACCAAGUAAAAGUGAAAUCUCAAACCCAACCUCCAAAAUAUACCCUUGGCACAGUCCAUGAUGCUGAGUGUGAGAUCAAUCACUGUGGAAUCACCCCCUCCCAAAUGUUGGCAACUGAAGCACAGAAGCACUGAAUGACUUGAUUAGACACAGGCAACCUCGAGGACCCAGGAGAUGUCCCUUUUAUAGAAGUCUCUGUCUGGUUCUUUACCAUAAAACCAAGGCCCUUCUCAGAAGAGUUUUCCCAGGGCCUUGCACCAUCUGUUGCUGACUUUUACUGUAACUAAGUUGGUUUAAAAAUAAUGACAUUUUUCUUCUGUAACUGUGAUAUCAGCAGAGGGGAAGUCCUGCACAUAUGUAGGUGAAGAAAUGAGAAUAUGCAACCAGAGAAUAGGUGUUUAUUCUCCCACACUUUCUGUUUUGCUUAACAGUACUAACCCCCCUUUACUUGUAAGCACUUGAGUGCAUCAGUGCCUUUUACUUUCAAUUUGAAUCACAAGUAAUUUUAAUCUGCUUAGGAUCUCACAAGGCACCUACCCACUGCAUUCCACAC